UAGCCCCUGCGAUGUGCGUGAUUAACAUUUGUUUUUGAGCCAACAUUUUUGACCUUGGGACCUUAUCCUUGAUUGCGGUGUGCAUGUCCGCAUUUUCCUGAGCUGGUCGGGAAGCAGAAAGCCUGAAGCAACCAAUACCGGUACCCACCUUGUAAAAAGGUUCAAAAAGGUGAUUAACACGGCAUAGGCGGGGGUCUU
RNAcentral lists this non-coding RNA (198 nucleotides) under Smithella sp. RNAcentral's name for it is "6S RNA". It matches the Rfam family "6S / SsrS RNA". From Rfam's summary of the family: E. coli 6S RNA was the first non coding RNA to be sequenced, but its function was unknown until recently. It consists of 184 nucleotides that fold into an extended hairpin structure with a large single-stranded internal bulge. The record is from RNAcentral. Lineage: Bacteria; Pseudomonadati; Thermodesulfobacteriota; Syntrophia; Syntrophales; Smithellaceae.